Molecule: ribosomal RNA, 420 nt
Filed under: bacterium
Lineage: Bacteria
Description: partial 16S ribosomal RNA
Rfam family: Bacterial small subunit ribosomal RNA
Source: RNAcentral
UGGGGGAUAUUGCACAAUGGGCGAAAGCCUGAUGCAGCGACGCCGCGUGGGGGAUGAAGGCUUUCGGGUUGUAAACCUCUUUCGCUAUCGAACAAGGCCCGCUUAGGGUGGGUUGAGGGUAGGUGGAGAAGAAGCGCCGGCUAACUACGUGCCAGCAGCCGCGGUAAUACGUAGGGCGCGAGCGUUGUCCGGAAUUAUUUGGCGUAAAGGGCUUGUAGGCGGCUUGUUGCGCCUGCUGUGAAAACGCGGGGCUUAACUUCGCGCGUGCAGUGGGUACGGGCCGGCUUGAGUGUGGUAGGGGUGACUGGAAUUCCAGGUGUAGCGGUGGAAUGCGCAGAUAUCUGGAGGAACACCGAUGGCGAAGGCAGGUCACUGGGCCAUUACUGACGCUGAGGAGCGAAAGCAUGGGUAGCGAACAGG